Non-coding RNA from Arvicanthis niloticus (Nile rat), 536 nucleotides. Lineage: Eukaryota; Metazoa; Chordata; Mammalia; Rodentia; Muridae. The record is from the annotation of a RefSeq genome assembly.
UCAUCAUGGACAUGAGGGCCACUGCUCAGUUCUUUGGGCUCCUGUUGCUUUUGUUUCAAGGUAUCAGAUAUGACAUCCAAAUGACCCAGUCUUCAUCCUCCCUAUCUGCCUCUCUGGGAGACAGAGUCUCUAUCAGUUGCAGGGCAAGUGAGGGCAUUAACAAUUAUUUAAACUGGUAUCAGCAGAAACCAGAUGGAACUGUUAAACUCUUGAUCUACGCCACAUCAAACUUACUCUCAGGAAUCCCAUCAAGGUUCAGUGGCAGUGGGUCUGGGACAGAUUAUACUCUCACAAUCAGCAGCCUGGAGUCUGAUGAUAUUGCCACUUAUUAUUGUGAACAGUAUAAACAGCAUCCUCCCACAAUGAUACCAGUCAUAACAAAAACCUCUGUGGAAAUAGAAGUGUGUGGCUUGGCUGCCCCAGAUGUUCCUCAUGAUCCCGGUGGCUGGAGCAGUCACACAGCUGAUCUGCUCUCCUGUGGAAACUGCAUCUGGAGGUAUCCUAGAGAGAGUCGCAAACCACAGAGCUACAGGUAG